GACGAACGCUGGCGGCGUGCUUAACACAUGCAAGUCGAACGGAAAGGCCCUGCUUUUGUGGGGUGCUCGAGUGGCGAACGGGUGAGUAACACGUGAGUAACCUGCCCUUGACUUUGGGAUAACUUCAGGAAACUGGGGCUAAUACCGGAUAGGAGCUCCUGCUGCAUGGUGGGGGUUGGAAAGUUUCGGCGUUUGGGGAUGGACUCGCGGCUUAUCAGCUUGUUGGUUGGGUAGUGGCUUACCAAGGCUUGGACGGGUAGCCGGCCUGAGAGGGUGACCGGGCACAUUGGGACUGCGGUACGGCCCAGACUCCUACGGUAGGCAGCAGUGGGAAAUAUUGCACAAUGGGCGGAAGCCUGAUGCAGCAACGCCGCGUGCGGGAUGACGGCCUUCGGGUUGUAAACCGCUUUCGCCUGUGACGAAGCGUGAGUGACGGUAAUGGGUAAAGAAGCACCGGCUAACUACGUG
Molecule: ribosomal RNA, 468 nt
Filed under: uncultured bacterium
Lineage: Bacteria
Description: partial 16S ribosomal RNA
Rfam family: Bacterial small subunit ribosomal RNA
Source: RNAcentral